GACGAACGCUGGCGGCAUGCCUAACACAUGCAAGUCGAACGAGACAGUCGGGUAUUUUGGCGCACGGGUUGGUAAGCGGUGGGAUCCUUCACGUGUGUUCGGACUAACUCUCCGAGAGGGGCGCUAAUACCGGAUAAUGUCUUCGGACCAAAGAUUAAUAGCCUUUGGAUGGGCCCGCGUUGGAUUAGCUAGUUGGUAGCUAAAAGGCCUUCCAAGGUGACGAUCCAUAGUUGGUCUGAGAGGCGGAUCAGCCACACUGGGACUGAGACACGACCCAGACUCCUGCGGGAGGCGGCAGUGGGGAAGAUUGGAGCAUGGGCGGAAGCCUGCGCCAGCGAUGCCGAGAGAGUUAUGAAGGGCUUAGAAUGGUAAAGCGAUUUUACCGGGGAUGAUGAGAAGAGAACCGGGAAAAUAGGCACGGGCUACCACGGG
RNAcentral lists this ribosomal RNA (432 nucleotides) under uncultured bacterium. RNAcentral's name for it is "partial 16S ribosomal RNA". It matches the Rfam family "Bacterial small subunit ribosomal RNA", at positions 28 to 507 of the family's 1533-position model. The record is from RNAcentral.